Molecule: ribosomal RNA, 1471 nt
Filed under: human gut metagenome
Description: bacterial LSU rRNA
Rfam family: Bacterial large subunit ribosomal RNA
Source: RNAcentral
GUGUAUCAUUACCGGAGGUAAAGCACUGAAUGGCCUAGGGCCCUAACGGGUACCGAAGCCUAUCAAACUAAGAAUGCCGGCUAAUGCGAGCACAGCAGUCAGACUAUGGGAGAUAAGUUUCAUAGUCAAAAGGGAAACAGCCCAGACCCACAGCUAAGGUCCCAAAUAUGAUUUAAGUGGAAAACGAUGUGGGGUUGCGAAAACAACCAGGAUGUUGGCUUAGAAGCAGCCACUCAUUUAAAGAGUGCGUAAUAGCUCACUGGUCGAGUGACCCUGCGCGGAAAAUUCAACGGGGCUAAAAUCAUAACCGAAGCUUGGGAUAUACUAAUGUAUAUGGUAGGGGAGCGUUGUGUAAGGGGUGAAGUCAUAGCGGAAGCGGUGGUGGACUUUACACAAGUGAGAAUGCCGGAAUGAGUAGCGCGAAUUAUGUGAGAAUCAUAAUGGCCGAAAGUCUAAGGUUUUUGGAGGAAGGUUCGUCCGCUCCAAGUUAGUCGGGAGCUAAGGUCAGGCCGAAAGGCGUAGCCGAUGCACAUACGGUAGACAUUCCGUAACCGUCGAAGUAUUUAAACAAAGGGACACUUUGGGAAGGUACAAGCCAGGCGUUGGUAGCCCUGGUCGUAAGGGACUGAAGUUUAGUAAGGAAGUGUACUGGAACAGAGGCGAGAAAAGCUUUGUGUAUAUACAAGAUGCCCGUACCGCAAACCGACACAGGUAGAUGGGAAGAGAAUUCUAAGGCCAACGGGAGAAGGGUUGUUAAGGAACUCGGCAAGUUGACCCCGUAACUUCGGAAGAAGGGGUGCUCCAGAAAUGGAGCCGCAGAGAAUAGGUCCAGGCGACUGUUUAGCAAAAACACAGCUCUAUGCUAAAUCGAAAGAUGAUGUAUAUGGGGUGACACCUGCCCGGUGCUGGAAGGUUAAGAGGAGAUGUGCAAGCAUUGAAUUGAAGCCCCAGUAAACGGCGGCCGUAACUAUAACGGUCCUAAGGUAGCGAAAUUCCUUGUCAGGUAAGUUCUGACCCGCACGAAUGGUGUAACGAUCUGGACACUGUCUCAACAACCCGCCCGGCGAAAUUGUAGUACCGGUGAAGAUGCCGGUUACCCGCGACAAGACGGAAAGACCCCAUGGAGCUUUACUGUAGCUUAAUAUUGGAUUUUGAUAUUUCAUGUACAGAAUAGGUGGGAGACUGAGAAACAGGAGCGUCAGCUUCUGCGGAGUCGCCUUUGGGAUACCACUCUUGAAGUGUUGAAAUUCUAACCUGCAGCCGUGAAUCCGGCUGGGGGACAUUGUUAGGUGGGCAGUUUGACUGGGGCGGUCGCCUCCAAAAAGGUAUCGGAGGCGCUCAAAGGUUCGCUCAGCAUGGACGGAAACCAUGCCCCUGAGUGUAAACGCAUAAGCGAGCCUAACUGCGAGACGGACAGGUCGAGCAGUAACGAAAGUUGGAGUUAGUGAUCCGGCGGUAUGUGAGUGGAAAU